Long non-coding RNA from Brienomyrus brachyistius, 293 nucleotides. RefSeq lists it as uncharacterized. Lineage: Eukaryota; Metazoa; Chordata; Actinopteri; Osteoglossiformes; Mormyridae. The record is from RefSeq and is a predicted model, not a curated record. The transcript has 3 exons.
AAACAAUUGCAUAUAUACUGGAGUCUCCGUUUUGUCAAGAAACACGGAUAAGAUUCUGGAAUAAUAAAGACAUUUUGUAUUUCAAGAAGCCCAGCAGGAGUCAUCUGGUCUGGAUCGGCACAAAAAUGGAGGGAGCUGCUUCUGAAAUGACCCCCCCUGUGGAGUGUAAAACAAAGAGACCUGAGAGUGUCCUGAUGGAGAGAGCAGGCUCACCUGUACCCAGCUGUGUUUCCAUGAAGAGUGACUGGUCAAUGGACCCCAAAAUCUACUUCAGAGAGAAACCUUUUCCUACA